Long non-coding RNA from Dicentrarchus labrax (European seabass), 1707 nucleotides. RefSeq lists it as uncharacterized. Lineage: Eukaryota; Metazoa; Chordata; Actinopteri; Moronidae. The record is from RefSeq and is a predicted model, not a curated record. The transcript is spliced from 2 exons.
AGUAGCUCACACAGAAGGGGUUGGACUGCUAACUUUGUGCUGUGAAGACCGCAACAAGUCAAGUCUGAGGUCCUCCAGGUCCAAGAGAGUAUGAACCAAAACGAGAGAGUAAGAGGGAGGGAGGGAGAUAGAGAGGGAGGGAGGGAUGAACAGGAUUUGUGGGCAGAAAAAGGGGCCAAGACAAAAAAUGGGUAGAGGUGGAGCAACACUGACAGAGAAUAAAAGAGUAUAAAUCACGUCCACAAAGGAUGAAAUAAAGAAGGACAAAGAGGAGAAAAUAUGGGAGACAGAACAGAGAAAACAAGCACGAGUAUGUGGAACAAAAUAUGAGGAAAAAGGGAGGAGGAGGCUGCCACAAAUGCUGGCAAAUAUUGACACACACACACACACACACACACACACACACACACACACACUCUGACCACUCCAACAGAGCAGACAUCUGGCCCAGAGUGGAUUAUGGGUAAUUAACUGCUCUUUAAUGAUUCCCGCUGAGCGAGGACUCGACAGCACAGGAACACAGAUUACACUCUGAUACACAAAAAAUUUGUGUAUUUGUAUCUGUGUGUGUAUAUGUGUGUGUUCAUGCCUCCAAAGAGCAAACCAGGGGAAUAACUGAGAUUACACUGUGACCCACUGCAGGGACACACACACACACACACACACACACACACACACACACACACACACACACACACAUACACUCAGACUGACACAAAUGUCCAUAGAGAUUUAUUCAUUUGCCAACCACCACAUCCUUAAACCCAUCCUUAGCCCUUAAUCCUGCCUUUUUGUCUGUGUAGGUGCGUGUGUGUGUGUGUGUGUGUGUGUUUCUGUGUGUGUGGGUGACUUUCAUCCUGCAGGUAUGAAUCCACUUUCUGAUUGUAUUACUUAUAAGCAAAUGUUUAAUUUCAAUUCACAUUCUUAGGGAACCCAGUGUGCGUCUUAUCAAAGAGGACUCACCAUAAACUGCACUGUGUAUGUGAGUGAGUAUAAGUGUUUGCGUGUGUGUGUGUGUGUGUGUGUGUGUGUGUGUGUGUGUGUGUGAAUACAACUUAAUCCCAGGCUUGUCCAUUUGUCAGUGACCCGAGGCCAAAUGCUGAAGAUAGUAUCGAGGCGACAACAGAAGGACUGAAGAGGAGGGAACACACCUGAGGCGAGGUCUACACGUUCUUCCUGGAGGAUGCCAAGUUGUUCCCAGGCCACGCUGGACUCCACAAAAUGCCCUGCGUCAACCCAGUCGAAUGUGGCCCAAAAUACCUCUAAAGAAGGUAGAAGGCAGAGAUUCUACCCAGAGCUCCCUUCGGAUGUUUGAGCUCUUCCCCCCUCCGAUCACGAAGGAUGAGCCCGAAUCCACUUGUAUGGACAGCAAGUCACUCUCAACCCAAAAGGAAGCAAUCCUUGGCUUCAGACUUUGAUUUGCUGACUCUCAUUCCAACAAACCGUCCAAGUGCAAGCUGGAGGUCACAAGUUUAAGAUGCCAAAAGAACCACAUCGUCGGCAAAAAAGCAGAGAUUCAACCCUGAGCCAACCAUACUGCACAUUCCCCACAGGUCUGCUUCCACUCAGAUUGUUUUUGACUUCCUGCCAAGAACUCUGAAUGAUUUGUUUAAGUAUGACAAUUAUGUGAAUCAUUUGCUGUAGACUUCCAGGGUUUUUCCUGCAGUAGAGAAUUAAAAGUUGGCCAAUUCGUGCCUUUUGGAAGAA